Molecule: ribosomal RNA, 679 nt
Filed under: uncultured bacterium
Lineage: Bacteria
Description: bacterial SSU rRNA
Rfam family: Bacterial small subunit ribosomal RNA
Source: RNAcentral
CGGCGUGCUAACACAUGCAAGUCGAACGAUGAUAGAGAGCUUGCUUUUCUUGAUUAGUGGCGCACGGGUGAGUAAUGCAUAGAUAAUGUGCCCCUUAGUUCGGGAUAGCCACUGGAAACGGUGAUUAAUACCGGAUACUCCUUCUUGUUAUAAGACAAGUCGGGAAAGUUUUUCGCUAAGGGAUCAGUCUAUGUUCCAUCAGCUUGUUGGUGGGGUAAUGGCUCACCAAGGCUAUGACGGAUAUCUGGUUUGAGAGGAUGAUCAGACACACUGGAACUGAGACACGGUCCAGACUCCUACGGGAGGCAGCAGUGAGGAAUAUUGCACAAUGGAGGAAACUCUGAUGCAGCAACGCCGCGUGGAGGAUGACGCAUUUCGGUGUGUAAACUCCUUUUAUUAGGGAAGAUAAUGACGGUACCUAAUGAAUAAGCACCGGCUAACUCCGUGCCAGCAGCCGCGGUAAUACGGAGGGUGCAAGCGUUACUCGGAAUCACUGGGCGUAAAGGGUGCGUAGGCUGGCUUUUAAGUCAGAUGUGAAAUCCAAUGGCUCAACCAUUGAACUGCAUUUGAAACUGAAAGCCUAGAGUUCAGAAGGGGCAGAUGGAAUUAGUGGUGUAGGGGUAAAAUCCGUAGAUAUCACUAGGAAUACCGAUUGCGAAGGCGAUCUACUGGAACAUUA